UGAAUACGAGACGCUACGGCGUCGAAGCAGUCUAUGUCAUACUUCCAAGAAAAGCUCGCAAUGUCAUAAACAAAUAAUGCCUGUACCAUAACCGACACAGGUGGGUAGGUAGAGUAUACUAAGGGGCGCGAGAUAACUCUCUCUAAGGAGCUCGGCAAAAUGACUCCGUAACUUCGGGAGAAGGAGUGCCUUAUUUAUAAGGUUGCAAUAACAAGAUCCAAGCAACUGUUUAUCAAAAACACAGGUCUCCGCUAAGUCGUAAGACGAUGUAUGGGGGCUGACGCCUGCCCAGUGCCAGAAGGUUAAAGAAGUUGGUUAGCAUUCGCGAAGCUGAUAACUGAAGCCCUGGUGAACGGCGGCCGUAACUAUAACGGUCCUAAGGUAGCGAAAUUCCUUGUCGGGUAAGUUCCGACCCGCACGAAAGGCGUAAUGAUUUGGAUACUGUCUCGGAGAGGGGCUCGGUGAAAUAGACUUGUCUGUGAAGAUGCGGACUACCUGCACCUGGACAGAAAGACCCUAUGAAGCUUUACUGUAACUUGAAAUUGAAAUUGGACUUUAUUUGCGCAGCAUAGGUGGGAGGCGUUGAGAGUAUUCUUGCGGGAAUAUUGGAGCCAUCAGUGAGAUACCACUCUUGUAAUGUUAGAUUUCAAACUUUGGAUCAUAUCUGGUCAAAGAACAGUUUCAGGCGGGCAGUUUGACUGGGGCGGUCGCCUCCCAAAUGGUAACGGAGGCGUACAAAGGUUUCCUCUGAACGGGUAGAAAUCGUAUCUAGAGUGUAAGGGCAUAAGGAAGCUUGACUGUGAGACCUACAAGUCGAGCAGGGACGAAAGUCGGUCUUAGUGAUCUGACGGUGCUGAGUGGAAAGGCCGUCACUCAACGGAUAAAAGUUACUCUAAGGAUAACAGGCUGAUCUCCCCCAAGAGUUCACAUCGACGGGGAGGUUUGGCACCUCGAUGUCGGCUCAUCGCAUCCUGGGGCGGUAGUACGUCCCAAGGGUUGGGCUGUUCGCCCAUGAAAGCGGUACGCGAGCUGGGUUCAGAACGUCGUGAGACAGUUCGGUCCAUAUCCGGUGUAGGCGUUAGAAUAUUGAGAGGAGCCUUCUUUAGUACGAGAGGACCGAGAAGGACAUACCUCUGGUGUACCAGUUAUCGUGCCAACGGUAAACGCUGGGUAGCUAUGUAUGGAGAGGAUAACCGCUGAAAGCAUCUAAGUGGGAAGCCCACCUCAAGAUAAGUAUUCUCAC
RNAcentral lists this ribosomal RNA (1243 nucleotides) under metagenome. Its description in RNAcentral is "bacterial LSU rRNA". It matches the Rfam family "Bacterial large subunit ribosomal RNA", at positions 1564 to 2817 of the family's 2925-position model. The record is from RNAcentral.